UUACAAAAUCAUAGCGGAAGCAUUAACUAACCAAAAGAAAAUGGGUGUUACCGCCACGCUCAGGUAUCUCUCUUAUACCCAAACGCUAAGGCUAAUAAUACAAC
Ipomoea nil (Japanese morning glory) is the source of this 104-nucleotide long non-coding RNA. RefSeq lists it as uncharacterized. The record is from RefSeq and is a predicted model, not a curated record. The transcript has 2 exons. Lineage: Eukaryota; Viridiplantae; Streptophyta; Magnoliopsida; Solanales; Convolvulaceae.